RNAcentral lists this ribosomal RNA (253 nucleotides) under uncultured bacterium. RNAcentral describes it as "partial 16S ribosomal RNA". It matches the Rfam family "Bacterial small subunit ribosomal RNA", at positions 524 to 776 of the family's 1533-position model. The record is from RNAcentral. RNAcentral also lists the same sequence under 1 other name.
UACGUAGGGUGCAGGCGUUAAUCGGAAUUACUGGGCGUAAAGCGUGCGCAGGCGGCUCCUUAAGUCAGAUGUGAAAUCCCCGGGCUUAACCUGGGAACUGCGUUUGAAACUGAGGGGCUAGAGUGUGGAAGAGGGGGGUGGAAUUCCAGGUGUAGCAGUGAAAUGCGUAGAGAUCUGGAGGAACACCGAUGGCGAAGGCAGCCCCCUGGGCUAACACUGACGCUCAUGCACGAAAGCGUGGGGAGCAAACAGG